GCCGAAACCUUGCGGUCAAGGAGAAAACAGCCUACUCUCACGCGCGCUUUUUCUUUGUUCCAAGAUUGAUUGAACGACUCGUGUGUUUCUCUUCGUCCUGAAAAUUGCUAUGAAGCUAGAUAACAUGCUAAUGCUGUGUUUUGAACAUAGUUUUACAAGUUUAGUCGACAUAUAAUAUGUAAUUUCAACGUUUUGGUGCGCACCCACUUGACUUUUGGCUGCAUUUCAACCGAAAUGUGUCGUGUUUGAUCACCGAAAGACACAGACUUCCAAACUAAAGCUGUUUUUGGAGACGGCUGUGGCAGUGGAGGAGAAUCCAUGUCGCCUGGUUCCAUGGUUGGAAGCCAUGAUAGAGAUAUGAUGACCUUGCAUCACAAUGUCCAUUCCACAAAGGUAGUAGUAGCUAGCCUGCAGCGGUGGACCAGUGCCAGGAAUGGCCCUCCAAGGACCUGAGCCCUAGGACCAUGCCCCCAGGACUACCUGACAUGAUGACUCCUUGCUGUCCCCAGUCCACCUGGCUGUGCUGCUGCUCCAGUUUCAACUGUUCUGCCUUAUUAUUAUUCAACCAUGCUGGUCAUUUAUGAACAUUUGAACAUCUUGGCCAUGUUCUGUUAUAAUCUCCACCUGGCACAGCCAGAAGAGGACUGGCCACCCCACAUAGCCUGGCUCCUCUCUAGGUUUCUUCCUAGGUUUUGGCCUUUCUAGGGAGUUUUUCCUAGCCACCGUGCUUCUACACUUGCGUUGCUUGGGGUUUUAGGCUGGGUUUCUGUACAGCACUUUGAGAUAUCAGCUGAUGUACGAAGGGCUAUAUAAAUAAAUUUGAUUUGAUUUGAGUUGGCGUGUGAGUUUGACUUUCGGGAAAGGGUAGUUAAAGACAAGUACACUGAAUUUAGACUACCAAAUAAAUGCCAAACACCUAUUUUGACCCAAUCCCCAUACCUUUAAAGUAAGUUACUAAAUAUAGUCCAGUUUGUAACAUUCUCUAUGAAAUG
Oncorhynchus tshawytscha (Chinook salmon) is the source of this 992-nucleotide long non-coding RNA. The record is from Ensembl. Lineage: Eukaryota; Metazoa; Chordata; Actinopteri; Salmoniformes; Salmonidae.